RNAcentral lists this ribosomal RNA (253 nucleotides) under uncultured bacterium. Its description in RNAcentral is "partial 16S ribosomal RNA". It matches the Rfam family "Bacterial small subunit ribosomal RNA", at positions 524 to 776 of the family's 1533-position model. The record is from RNAcentral.
UACGUAGGGACCAAGCGUUGUUCGGAUUUACUGGGCGUAAAGGGCGCGUAGGCGGCUUAACAAGUCACUUGUGAAAUCUCCGGGCUUAACUCGGAACGGCCAAGUGAAACUGUCAAGCUAGAGUGCAGAAGGGGCAAUCGGAAUUCUUGGUGUAGCGGUGAAAUGCGUAGAUAUCAAGAGGAACACCUGAGGUGAAGACGGGUUGCUGGGCUGACACUGACGCUGAAGCGCGAAAGCUAGGGGAGCGAACGGG